This 118-nucleotide ribosomal RNA is filed under the name uncultured eukaryote. RNAcentral's name for it is "partial 16S ribosomal RNA". It matches the Rfam family "Bacterial small subunit ribosomal RNA", at positions 355 to 488 of the family's 1533-position model. The record is from RNAcentral.
UGGGGAAUUUUCCGCAAUGGGCGAAAGCCUGACGGAGCAAUGCCGCGUGAAGGCAGAAGGCCCACGGGUCAUGAACUUCUUUUCUCGGAGAAGAAAAAAUGACGGUAUCUGAGGAAUA